This 690-nucleotide ribosomal RNA is filed under the name uncultured Acidobacteriota bacterium. RNAcentral describes it as "bacterial SSU rRNA". It matches the Rfam family "Bacterial small subunit ribosomal RNA", at positions 19 to 688 of the family's 1533-position model. The record is from RNAcentral. Lineage: Bacteria; Pseudomonadati; Acidobacteriota.
CUGGCUCAGAAUCAACGCUGGCGGCGUGCCUAACACAUGCAAGUCGAACGCGAAAGCCCCGCAAGGGGUAAGUAGAGUGGCAAACGGGUGAGUAACACGUGGGUGACCUGCCUUCGAGUGGGGGAUAACGUUCCGAAAGGAGCGCUAAUACCACAUGACAUCCUGCCUUUGAAGAGGCGGAGAUCAAAGCCUGGGAUCGCAAGACCUGGCGCUUGAAGAGGGGCCCGCGCCUGAUUAGCUAGUUGGUGAGGUAACGGCUCACCAAGGCGACGAUCAGUAUCCGGCCUGAGAGGGCGGACGGACACACUGGGACUGAGACACGGCCCAGACUCCUACGGGAGGCAGCAGUGGGGAAUUGUUCGCAAUGGGCGCAAGCCUGACGACGCAACGCCGCGUGGAGGACGAAGAUCUUCGGGUCGUAAACUCCUGUCGAGCGGGACGAAUGCCUCGCGGGUGAACAAUCCGCGGGGGUGACGGUACCGCUAAAGGAAGCCCCGGCUAACUCCGUGCCAGCAGCCGCGGUAAUACGGGGGGGGCAAGCGUUGUUCGGAAUUACUGGGCGUAAAGGGCUCGUAGGCGGCCAACUAAGUCAGACGUGAAAUCCCCAGGCUCAACCUGGGAACUGCGUCUGAUACUGGAUGGCUUGAAUCCGGGAGAGGGAUGCAGAAUUCCAGGUGUAGCGGUGAAAUG